GAGCAACGCCGCGUGAACGAUGAAGUACCUCGGUAUGUAAAGUUCUUUUAUUAAGGAAGAAAAAAGAGUGGAAAAACUCCCUUGACGGUACUUAAUGAAUAAGCCCCGGCUAAUUAUGUGCCAGCAGCCGCGGUAAUACAUAAGGGGCGAGCGUUAUCCGGAAUUAUUGGGCGUAAAGGGUGCGUAGGCGGUUUAAUAAGUCUAUAGUUUAAUUUCAGCGCUUAACGCUGUUGUGCUAUAGAAACUGUUUUACUAGAGUGAGUUAGAGGCAAGCGGAAUUCCAUGUGUAGCGGUAAAAUGCGUAAAUAUAUGGAGGAACACCAGAGGCGUAGGCGGCUUGCUGGGACUUUACUGACGCUGAGGCACGAAAGCGUGGGGAGCAAACAGGAUUAGAUACCCUGGUAGUCCACGCCGUAAACGAUGAGUACUAAGUGUCGGGUAAAACCGGUACUGAAGUUAACACAUUAAGUACUCCGCCUGAGUAGUACGUACGCAAGUAUGAAACUUAAAGGAAUUGACGGGACUCCGCACAAGCGGUGGAUCAUGUUGUUUAAUUCGAAGAUACACGAAAAACCUUACCAGGUCUUGACAUUUUCUUGCGAAGUUAUAGAAAUAUAAUGGAGGUUAUCAGGAAAACAGGUGGUGCAUGGUUGUCGUCAGCUCGUGUCGUGAGAUGUUAGGUUAAGUCCUAAAACGAGCGCAACCCUUGUCGUUAAUUGCCAGCAUGUAAUGAUGGGGACUUUAACGAGACUGCCAAUGAAAAAUUGGAGGAAGGUGGGGAUUACGUCAAAUCAUCAUGCCCCUUAUGAUCUGGGCUACAAACGUGAUACAAUG
RNAcentral lists this ribosomal RNA (834 nucleotides) under Western X phytoplasma. RNAcentral's name for it is "bacterial SSU rRNA". It matches the Rfam family "Bacterial small subunit ribosomal RNA", at positions 389 to 1232 of the family's 1533-position model. Lineage: Bacteria; Bacillati; Mycoplasmatota; Mollicutes; Acholeplasmatales; Acholeplasmataceae. The record is from RNAcentral.